AACGAACGCUGGCGGCAUGCCUAACACAUGCAAGUCGAACGAGACCUUCGGGUCUAGUGGCGCACGGGUGCGUAACGCGUGGGAAUCUGCCCUUCGGUUCGGAAUAACUCAGGGAAACUU
This 120-nucleotide ribosomal RNA is filed under the name uncultured bacterium. RNAcentral describes it as "partial 16S ribosomal RNA". It matches the Rfam family "Bacterial small subunit ribosomal RNA", at positions 29 to 159 of the family's 1533-position model. The record is from RNAcentral.